CACUGCUAUUCUUUUGUCUCUUUCCUCUCUCCCUUCCAUUUCUCCCAUCACCGCAUACCUAUAUUCCCCAAGGCCGUAAAUUUGCUAUCCUACAUCAUAUGACCGCGUAACCACCACCACUAACCUCCUCUCUUCCUCCUCUACAAAACCGAGAUUUUCAUUUUUCCGAUCUACCAAUUUUAUUUUCGCGACCGCGUAACCACCUACGCCGUGACGGUGAUUUUUUCACGUUCAUUUCACCUAUUUAUUUACUUGUAGUACUGUAGAGUUGGUUUUAUGGGAGAUCUCAUUUCUUUGGUGGUUGGUGGAUUUCAUCAAGAUGGGGAAAGGGACUUCAACUCUACAUUUGGUUUCUUUUUCAGAAGUGUGAUCAAGGACAAUGGAUGUUUGUUCGUGAGGAGCUAAUGUUUGUUAGUGAGGAGCUACCGGUUGCAAUAACUUCGGGCUGCUAAAACAUUAUGAGG
Molecule: long non-coding RNA, 464 nt
Organism: Trifolium pratense (red clover)
Lineage: Eukaryota; Viridiplantae; Streptophyta; Magnoliopsida; Fabales; Fabaceae
Exons: 3
Source: RefSeq, a predicted model, not a curated record